CAAACCAAACUACCAUCACAAAUUUACAAUUCAAAGCGGCACAACCAGCAGCAACAACAACAACAACGUUCUCUCUCUCUCUCUCUCACACACACACACUCUCUCUAUCUCUCUCUUCACACCACCAUUCACCACUCUUUCAUUUAAGAAACACAUAAACACGAGAAAUAUCACAAAGGGUAGGUGGAAGAUGAUGCAUCACUAAUAAACAACAACAACAAAAAUACGUUGUUUCCAACCUCACAUGUUUAUAUUUGCAGACACACAUAAGCUUCUUCCGUACACUGUUUUCUUAUACAACAACAAUGGCUUAUCUGGGGUUUUCUAUUCAGGUAAAAGAAUUGUCUUUCUAUUGUCAAUGGCUUUGUUUUUCUUUUUUUGUUGGUUCAUGAGGCAUUUUGCGUUGACGCCUUUAAAAACUUGGUCUUUUUCUUGUUUUGAAUUUUGGGUUUCUUUUGAAUUGUUGACUUUGUGGCUUUUGUGAUUUUUUUUGCUCAAUUGGGUUUGUUUUCCAAGGAAAAAGGGUGGUGGGGUUUAUGGUCUUGAGUCUUGCUAACGUAGAGAUAUUUUGUACUUCAUAUCAAGAAAGUGCUUUUAAGGGUUAAUUGUUUUCUUUUUCUCUCAAAUUUUGAUUUUUUUAAUGGUAUGAGUCUGUAGGGACUAAGAAUAAUCAUAUGUAAAUUAUGGUACCAACUUAAUUUUGUAAAAAAAAAAUGAUUUUUGUUGUUGUUGUUAGGGAAGUGUUUAUUGUUGGUGUGUUGAGAUGGGUUGGUGUUACUUUCUGAUGUGAUCAAAUUGGAAUUCUGAUUUGAAUGAUUGUUGAUAAUUUUUUUUUUUGGAUAGAAUAGUUGAAAUUGUAUGGUGAUUUGAUCAAGGUUUAUCUAACUUUUCUGUUAAUACUUUAUACUCUAUAUAAACACAUAUUUACACUAAAGCAUGAAGCCAUAAUCACUUUGAUUGCAAACUUUAGCUAAACCUAUCUAUUUGAAUGUAUUUCUCUUUGUUAAAUUCAUGUCUACAUUCAUGGAAUAAACAUUAUUCUUAUUGCAUUACUUGAUUUUGCUAAGAUUCUAUUAGCCAUUAUUCGUUGUUAGUAUAUUUGUUAUUUCUUGCUUUUGUUGACUGAUUGUAAAUACCUGAUAUAGUUGAAUUAUGAAUUACUUCCAUUUAUGUUUUUAACAAUGUUUUGCUGAUUUUGGAAAUGUUUUUUUUCCUUUAUAGUUUGACUUUAUUCGUUUCACUUAGCCGAAAAUCUUCUAUUUGUUUUAGGUACUCUACCUUUUGUAUUGAAGGGAAGUUGGUAUCAUAAGUAAACCACUUUGCUCUGAUAAUUGACUUGAAGUAACAAUGGUAAGCUUGAGAAGGCGUCGACUUUUGGGACUUUGCUCAGGUAAAUGUCGGAUAACAUAUACUUUUUCUCCUUUGGAAGUUUUGAAUCUGCUUCAUGAGUUGUGUCAAACGUUUAAUUGAUACUAUUUGUUAAUUUGAUCUUACCUUUUCCAGGAAACAAUUCAAUUGUCACUCCACUUCCUCUAUACUGUGAGAAUCUUGCUCGUAAUGAAAAUUCAAGUCAGAAUGCUAAUCAUAGGAGGGAACAAUCUAUGGUUAUGGAUAUCGCAAGCGUCCUCGACAGCGUAGGAACGCAAGUACUACUUUUAAAUUAUUGAAUUUUGCUCCUUUGAUGCUUUGUUUCUUGUAUCUAUAAGAUGUUAUUGUUUAAUACUAAAAUCAAGUCGAACAUUAAGAUUGAUUUCCAUCAAGUAUCAACUCAUAAAUGAAUUAGCAUUUAUGAUACACGUGUUCAUGAAUCCGUACAGAUAUUUACCUAGUUGAUAAAAUUAGAGAGUUAUUGUAUAUUCAUAUCCUAGAUAACUAGGAUCUUUCACUAAACUCUUCCGUUUGCGUUUCGCAGAAUUCCCAGAACACCAUUGUGAAAGAUGAAUCAGGGUCAUCAAAUGUGUCUGGUUCUAGCCCAUCGGAAGANNN
Molecule: long non-coding RNA, 1986 nt
Filed under: Cicer arietinum (chickpea)
Lineage: Eukaryota; Viridiplantae; Streptophyta; Magnoliopsida; Fabales; Fabaceae
Description: long non-coding RNA (CARI_LNC002369)
Source: RNAcentral